This 1473-nucleotide ribosomal RNA is filed under the name Thorogobius ephippiatus (leopard-spotted goby). RNAcentral's name for it is "partial 16S ribosomal RNA". It matches the Rfam family "Bacterial large subunit ribosomal RNA", at positions 112 to 2574 of the family's 2925-position model. The record is from RNAcentral. Lineage: Eukaryota; Metazoa; Chordata; Actinopteri; Gobiiformes; Gobiidae.
GCCCUAACAACUAGCCCACCCGAGAAAGACAACAAACACUAUUAAUAACCCCAAAACUACUAAUAGGAACCACCAAAGCAUUUUUCCGCCCCAGUAUGGGAGACAGAACGGGCCACAGAUGGCGCGAUAGAAAAAGUACCGCAAGGGAAAGCUGAAAAAGAAAUGAAAAAACUCAGUAACGGCCAAAAAAGCAGAGGUUAGUCCUCGUACCUUUUGCAUCAUGACCUAGCUAGCAUCCCCAAGCAAAGUGCACUUCAUGUUUGAAACCCCGAAACUGGGCGAGCUACUCCAAGACAGCCUAUUAUAGGGCACACCCGUCUCUGUGGCAAAAGAGUGGGAAGAGCUUCGAGUAGAGGUGAUAGACCUACCGAGCCCAGUUAUAGCUGGUUGCCUAAGAAUAGAAUAGGAGUUCGCCCUUUUGGCUUCUUUAACCAAUAAGGAAACACCCAUCCCCGACCAAAAGAACACCAGGAGAGUUAUUCAAGGGGGGAACAGCCCCCUUGAAGAAAGACACAACUUUUAUGAAGGCUAAAGAUCACAAGAAACAAGGAAUUAUACCCGAGUGGGCCUAAAAGCAGCCACCCCCCAUAGAAGGCGUUAAAGCCUAAGUAUAAUUUACCAAUGAUACCGACAAAAACAUCUAAAGCCUCUUGACUUAUUAGGCCCUCCCAUGCACCCCUGGGAGAGAUACUGCUAAUAUGAGUAAUAAGAGGGCAAUCGGCCCUCUCCCUGCAGACAUGUGCAUCAGAACGAACCCCCGCUGAAAAUUAACGCCCCCAAUUAAUAGAGGGCACUGAGAGCUACCGGCUAAAACAAGAAGCCCCCUCAACCACCAGCGUAACCCCCACACAGGACUGCUCACGGGAAAGACAAAAAGAGAAAGAAGGAACUCGGCAAACAUCUAGCCUCGCCUGUUUACCAAAAACACCGCCUCUUGCUUCAACAGUAUAAGAGGUCCCGCCUGCCCUGUGACUGAAAGUUUAACGGCCGCGGUAUUUUGACCGUGCGAAGGUAGCGUAAUCACCUGUCUUUUAAAUGAAGACCUGUAUGAAUGGCACAACGAGGGCUAUACUGUCUCCUCCCUCCAGUCAAUGAAAUUGAUCUGCCCGUGCAGAAGCGGACAUAUCCCCAUAAGACGAGAAGACCCUAUGGAGCUUUAGACCUCAAAGCAAGCCACACUAAAACCCUAGACCACCAGGGUUAAACCAUUGGACCCUGCUUGUUUGUCUUUGGUUGGGGCGACCGCGGGGAAAAAUCAAGCCCUCGCAUGGAACGAGAAAAGCCCUCUAAGGCAAGGCCGGCAGGCCUCGCAUCCAGAAAAUCUGACCACAAGAUCCGGCAACGCCGAUCAACGGACCAAGUUACCCUAGGGAUAACAGCGCAAUCCCCUUUUAGAGCUCACAUCGACAAGGGGGUUUACGACCUCGAUGUUGGAUCAGGACCUCCUAAUGGUGCAACCGCUAUUAAGGGUUC